Molecule: small RNA, 107 nt
Organism: Martelella sp. AD-3
Lineage: Bacteria; Pseudomonadati; Pseudomonadota; Alphaproteobacteria; Hyphomicrobiales; Aurantimonadaceae
Rfam family: Alphaproteobacterial ar15
Source: Rfam
AGCUGAUGCAUACGGCGACGGCUUUUUGAGUCUCGCUGCAGCAGCUGUUCCCCUCUGGAGGUUUUACCUUCACACCUAACAAGGGCCCCGUUUGGAGGCCCUUUUUU